GAGUUUGAUCCUGGCUCAGGAUGAACGCUAGCGGCAGGCUUAACACAUGCAAGUCGAGGGGUAUAGUUUUUCGGAACUAGAGACCGGCGCACGGGUGCGUAACGCGUAUGCAAUCUACCUUUCACAGAGGGAUAGCCCAGAGAAAUUUGGAUUAAUACCUCAUAGUAUAGUGAGUUGGCAUCAACACACUAUUAAAGUCACAACGGUGAAAGAUGAGCAUGCGUCCCAUUAGCUAGAUGGUAAGGUAACGGCUUACCAUGGCUACGAUGGGUAGGGGUCCUGAGAGGGAGAUCCCCCACACUGGUACUGAGACACGGACCAGACUCCUACGGGAGGCAGCAGUGAGGAAUAUUGGUCAAUGGGCGCAAGCCUGAACCAGCCAUGCCGCGUGCAGGAUGACGGUCCUAUGGAUUGUAAACUGCUUUUGUACGAGAAGAAACAACAUUACGUGUAAUGUCUUGACGGUAUCGUAAGAAUAAGGAUCGGCUAACUCCGUGCCAGCAGCCGCGGUAAUACGGAGGAUCCAAGCGUUAUCCGGAAUCAUUGGGUUUAAAGGGUCCGUAGGCGGUUUAGUAAGUCAGUGGUGAAAGCCCAUCGCUCAACGGUGGAACGGCCAUUGAUACUGCUAGACUUGAAUUACUAGGAAGUAACUAGAAUAUGUAGUGUAGCGGUGAAAUGCUUAGAGAUUACAUGGAAUACCAAUUGCGAAGGCAGGUUACUACUAGUGGAUUGACGCUGAUGGACGAAAGCGUGGGGAGCGAACAGGAUUAGAUACCCUGGUAGUCCACGCCGUAAACGAU
RNAcentral lists this ribosomal RNA (800 nucleotides) under uncultured soil bacterium. Its description in RNAcentral is "bacterial SSU rRNA". It matches the Rfam family "Bacterial small subunit ribosomal RNA", at positions 9 to 810 of the family's 1533-position model. The record is from RNAcentral.